This 492-nucleotide ribosomal RNA is filed under the name uncultured bacterium. RNAcentral's name for it is "partial 16S ribosomal RNA". It matches the Rfam family "Bacterial small subunit ribosomal RNA", at positions 30 to 507 of the family's 1533-position model. The record is from RNAcentral.
AUUGAACGCUGGCGGCAUGCUUUACACAUGCAAGUCGAACGGUAACAGGCCUUCGGGUGCUGACGAGUGGCGAACGGGUGAGUAAUGCAUCGGAACGUACCCAGAGGUGGGGGAUAACGCAGCGAAAGCUGUGCUAAUACCGCAUGUGAUCUGAGGAUGAAAGCGGGGGACCGAGCAGCAAUGUUUGGCCUCGCGCCUUUGGAGCGGCCGAUGUCGGAUUAGCUAGUUGGUGGGGUAAAGGCCUACCAAGGCGACGAUCCGUAGCUGGUCUGAGUGGACGACCAGCCACACUGGGACUGAGACACGGCCCAGACUCCUACGGGAGGCAGCAGUGGGGAAUUUUGGACAAUGGGCGCAAGCCUGAUCCAGCAAUGCCGCGUGCGGGAAGAAGGCCUUCGGGUUGUAAACCGCUUUUGGCAGGAACGAAACGGUGUCCGCUAAUACCGGGCGCUAAUGACGGUACCUGCAGAAUAAGCACCGGCUAACUACGUG